AUUGAACGCUGGCGGCGUGGCUAAAGCAUGCAAGUCGAGCGAACCCGCAAGGGUGAGCGGCGAGAGGGUCAGUAACACGAUCGAACGUCCCCUGAGGUGGAGGAUAGCGGUGGGAAACUGCCGGUAAUACUCCAUGAUCUCUCCGGAGCAAAGGUUUACCGCCUUGGGAUCGGCGAUCGUCCUAUCAGCUAGUUGGCGGGGUAACGGCCCACCAAGGCGAUGACGGGUAGCAGGNGUGAGAGCACGAUCUGCGACAUCGGAACUGAGACACUGUCCGGACUCCUACGGGAGGCUGCAGCGACGAAUCUUCCGCAAUGGGCGCAAGCCUGACGGAGCGACGCCGCGUGUGGGAUG
This 354-nucleotide ribosomal RNA is filed under the name uncultured bacterium. Its description in RNAcentral is "bacterial SSU rRNA". It matches the Rfam family "Bacterial small subunit ribosomal RNA", at positions 28 to 410 of the family's 1533-position model. The record is from RNAcentral.